RNAcentral lists this ribosomal RNA (379 nucleotides) under uncultured bacterium. Its description in RNAcentral is "bacterial SSU rRNA". It matches the Rfam family "Bacterial small subunit ribosomal RNA", at positions 30 to 407 of the family's 1533-position model. The record is from RNAcentral.
AUUGAACGCUGGCGGCAUGCUUUACACAUGCAAGUCGAACGGCAGCACGGGUGCUUGCACCUGGUGGCGAGUGGCGGACGGGUGAGUAAUACAUCGGAACGUGUCCUAAAGUGGGGGAUAACGCAUCGAAAGAUGUGCUAAUACCGCAUAAUCUCUAAGGAGAAAAGUAGGGGAUCGAAAGACCUUAUGCUUUUGGAGCGGCCGAUGUCUGAUUAGCUAGUUGGUGAGGUAAAGGCUCACCAAGGCGACGAUCUGUAGCGGGUCUGAGAGGAUGAUCCGCCACACUGGAACUGAGACACGGUCCAGACUCCUACGGGAGGCAGCAGUGGGGAAUUUUGGACAAUGGGCGCAAGCCUGAUCCAGCCAUGCCGCGUGAGUG